Molecule: ribosomal RNA, 291 nt
Filed under: Gittenedouardia dimera
Lineage: Eukaryota; Metazoa; Mollusca; Gastropoda; Stylommatophora; Cerastidae
Description: partial large subunit ribosomal RNA
Rfam family: Archaeal large subunit ribosomal RNA
Source: RNAcentral
CGGCCGCAUUACCCUGACUGUGCUAAGGUAGCAUAAUAACUUGGCCUUUAAUUGGGGUCUGGUAUGAAGGAGUUUAUGGGGGGGGACUGUCUUUUACUUAUUGGGUGAAAAUUCCCAAGACUUAAAAUAAGACGAGAAGACCCUUAGAAUUAUGCUUUUGUUGGGGCAACAUUGUCAGACGAAGUUGACAAUCUCAGAUUAUAAGAAAGAGUUUAAUUACCUAAGGGAUAACAGCAUAAUUUCAAUUUUAGAUUGUGACCUCGAUGUUGGACUAGGAAAACCCCCCACUAG